Molecule: long non-coding RNA, 822 nt
Organism: Mustela erminea (ermine)
Lineage: Eukaryota; Metazoa; Chordata; Mammalia; Carnivora; Mustelidae
Exons: 4
Source: RefSeq, a predicted model, not a curated record
GGAUGGUAAGGUGCCUUUCAGUGAACUUUGGGUUCUGGGUUUUUUGUUUGUUUAUUUGUUUGUUUCGUAAGUGUCUUUAGAAUGUUGUCUGAAGAUUGCUUGGGAGUGGGGCUGGUCACAUGCUAAUUCUCCAUCUUCUCAUCUAUGCAGUUGGAAUCUCUGUCGCUUUUAGUGCAAUGUGGUGAAAUUAAACAGUUCAUAGAAAUUCACACUGUGACUUAGCCCAGGUGCUAAGAAGCUCUAAGAUGAUUGAGUUUUCCUUGCCACCUUAACUGAAUUUUUAGAUUUUUAAUCCACUCUUCCUUCUUUUCAGUAGAACUUCAACUUUAUUCUUUCCUUCCUCAUUCUUUCCCCUACAUGAACUCUAUCAUGGUGCAGACUUUACAGUGAGCACAGUCAGACCCCUCACGUCCUGUGACUGCAGCAGGAUGCCCACUUUUGCCACUCUCUGCACUUUGAUGUGCUCAGUGUAUGAUUUUCAUUGUCUUCUCAACUAUUAGUGACAGAUAUAUUUGUAGAAAAGACCUGUUUUCCUCUGUGGUGUCUGAGACUGUGUAGGGGUUUUGUUUUGGUCUGGCUUGGUUUGCUUUUCUCUAUUUAAAACUUAGAUUGUGUCUACACCCACACAGAAACUUCAUCCAGUCAUCAGGCACCAGUAGGCUGUUCCUUUGCAGAGUGGUGAUCAAAAAAAGCCAUACCUCUGGUGAUCAUAAGUUUCAGUUUUUGAAGACUGGGUUCAGAAAUGCAUGGUUUUCUUCCUUUACCUGGCAAGUUAUUGACUCAGCAAACCAAAGAAUGGAAGAUUGAGCAUAAUUAUGAAGU